This 403-nucleotide ribosomal RNA is filed under the name Bacteroidota bacterium. RNAcentral's name for it is "Bacteroidetes bacterium partial 16S ribosomal RNA". It matches the Rfam family "Bacterial small subunit ribosomal RNA", at positions 355 to 776 of the family's 1533-position model. Lineage: Bacteria; Pseudomonadati; Bacteroidota. The record is from RNAcentral.
UGGGGAAUAUUGCACAAUGGGGGAAACCCUGAUGCAGCGACGCCGCGUGAACGAAGAAGGUAUUCGUAUCGUAAAGUUCUGUCCUAUGGGAAGAUAAUGACAGUACCAUAGAAGAAAGCUCCGGCUAAAUACGUGCCAGCAGCCGCGGUAAUACGUAUGGAGCGAGCGUUGUUCGGAAUUAUUGGGCGUAAAGGGUACGCAGGCGGUUUAAUAAGUCGAAUGUUAAAGACCGGGGCUCAACCCCGUAAAGCAUUGGAAACUGAUAAACUUGAGUAGUGGAGAGGAAAGUGGAAUUCCUAGUGUAGUGGUGAAAUACGUAGAUAUUAGGAGGAAUACCGGUGGCGAAGGCGACUUUCUGGACACAAACUGACGCUGAGGUACAAAAGCGUGGGGAGCAAACAGG